This 445-nucleotide ribosomal RNA is filed under the name uncultured bacterium. Its description in RNAcentral is "partial 16S ribosomal RNA". It matches the Rfam family "Bacterial small subunit ribosomal RNA", at positions 354 to 796 of the family's 1533-position model. The record is from RNAcentral.
GUAAGGAAUAUUGGACAAUGGACGCAAGUCUGAUCCAGCCAUGCCGCGUGAAGGAUUAAGGUCCUCUGGAUUGUAAACUUCUUUUAUAAGGGACGAAAAAAGGCUUUUCUAAGUCGUCUGACGGUACCUUAUGAAUAAGCACCGGCUAACUCCGUUCCAGCAGCCGCGGUAAUACGGAGGGUGCAAGCGUUAUCCGGAUUCACUGGGUUUAAAGGGUGCGUAGGCGGGCAGGUAAGUCAGUGGUGAAAUCCUAGAGCUUAACUCUAGAACUGCCAUUGAUACUAUCUGUCUUGAAUAUUGUGGAGGUAAGCGGAAUAUGUCAUGUAGCGGUGAAAUGCUUAGAUAUGACAUAGAACACCUAUUGCGAAGGCAGCUUACUACGCAUAUAUUUACGCUGAGGCACGAAAGCGUGGGGAUCAAACAGGAUUAGAUACCCCUGUAGUCC